UUCACUUAUGUUUGGGGUCAUGUUUUGAACAGUAUCAUGCAAGGGCAAACUACCGUCACUAACUAUGGACUAUAUAAGUUUGAAAUUAUUUAAGGAUUAAAAUAAACCAUAGUGUUCCUAUACCUAUCUGUUAACCUUAA
Long non-coding RNA from Amphimedon queenslandica, 140 nucleotides. RefSeq lists it as uncharacterized. The transcript has 2 exons. The record is from RefSeq and is a predicted model, not a curated record. NCBI's taxonomy places the organism in Eukaryota, Metazoa, Porifera, Demospongiae, Haplosclerida, Niphatidae.